CGGGUGGAGUUGAACUGCAAAGCUCCGAGAAUUUAACUGGUGAGUGUGGUAUACACUUGGAUAUAUUGGUUGGCCCUCAAAGUCUGCAGAAAACUGUGGAGGCUGUGCUAACGCGCGGCGUGCGUUGAAGCGCUUAUCAAGCGCUGUGCUCUUUGGGGGUACUUCGAACCUGCUUGCCAGUGCAUUUUCUCAGAGUGAUCACCACGACCGGCGCUGCUGUCUGUCUGCUGUGGUUAAACCGGGUGUGUAUCGUCCUUGUGGCUUUGCAUACUCGGGAUGGCAGGUAACCCGAUUGUGCUUGUCGCGAUUGGGUGUAAUCAGCUGACCAUAGUAGUACUGUACAGUGCGUCGGAGACGGCGGCUUGUGGUGCGUACAUGCGUGCAUGUUGAGUGGCGGCUUUGGGUCUGGUUAUACUGUAGCCUGUAAAAACAGGCCCUGUAAUGGCCCAGGGUUGUUCACUUGAUGGUUGCGUAUGGGGCACUUUAAUGGGCCUACAGUCUGUGGUGUAGUGGUAGACGAUCCACCCGACCCGUCUUGAAACACGGA
Molecule: ribosomal RNA, 547 nt
Filed under: Fellodistomum fellis
Lineage: Eukaryota; Metazoa; Platyhelminthes; Trematoda; Strigeidida; Fellodistomidae
Description: partial large subunit ribosomal RNA
Source: RNAcentral